UGUGUUUCGGUUGGAUAUACUGCUGUGUUGUGAAUAUUGGAAGUGUUGUUGUUAGACCCUUUUUUGGCAUAUUCGCUUACAGCUGUAUGAACUUAGGAGUUGUGUUUGAUUCUGUUAUUUCACAGUUAUGAUUUUGUUCAUAUCAUAUUACACUUCUGAGUUCACGUAUUAAGGAAAAGUCAUAUUGGGUUUGGUUUAAAUGUCAAUGUAGAGCUAUUAUGUCGACGUUUUGUUUAAUUGUGACAAACUUCUAAAACUCUGUUAAUAGCAUUCGUAAGACAGGUUUUGAAAUUCUGCUCAGCAUGAUAAGUGAAUAGAAAGUGAAGAGGAAAUGGGAUUCGAGUUUUCUUGCAUCCUAGGGUGAGUGAAGAUCUACUUAUAUAACCUCUCUUCUCAAUUCUGUUAUGAGAUGUUCUCAAUUCUGUUAUGAGAUGCAGGUUAAAUUACCUUGAAAUGUUGGAAUUUAAUUAGAAAUGAAGGUGAAUUUCAGUGGGAAGAAGUUAUCCUGUUCUGUUAGCAUUAAUUGAGUUAAGUUGGUUGCUGUUAGAACAGUCGGUUGGACCUUAGUGUUUCUAAGGUUUGUUGUCAUCUUAAAAUGUGGUUUGCUUCAGUUCUUUUUGUGCUAUCACUUUUAAUCAGUGUCGUAUCAUU
Molecule: long non-coding RNA, 651 nt
Filed under: Lathyrus oleraceus (garden pea)
Lineage: Eukaryota; Viridiplantae; Streptophyta; Magnoliopsida; Fabales; Fabaceae
Description: Pisum sativum (pea) long non-coding RNA (PSAT_LNC028167)
Source: RNAcentral